GUUAGUUGACUUGUCUGGAAAACAUGCAAGCUACCUUUCUUGGUCCCCUAGUUGACUUAUCUUAAGGGGGGUAGCCCAAUUAAAGAACUACAAUGAGAAGAAGUGGUUAAUGACUGGAACAUCGAUAAGGACAUCAAGUGCUGGGUUUGUUCAAAAUAUCAUCCCAUUUAGAGAAUACUAAUGGAAAUAUAUGUCAUUGCUGAUACUCAUGGAUUGAGAGUUAUGUUAUGAGGAUCAGAUGACACCAAAGUUUACGAAGCUAUAAUUGGGAUGCCAGAGUGAAACAACUUAACUGUGAUAAAGGUACCAAUA
RNAcentral lists this long non-coding RNA (312 nucleotides) under Sorghum bicolor (sorghum). RNAcentral's name for it is "long non-coding RNA (SBIC_LNC008238)". Lineage: Eukaryota; Viridiplantae; Streptophyta; Magnoliopsida; Poales; Poaceae. The record is from RNAcentral.